This 433-nucleotide ribosomal RNA is filed under the name uncultured bacterium. RNAcentral's name for it is "partial 16S ribosomal RNA". It matches the Rfam family "Bacterial small subunit ribosomal RNA", at positions 29 to 507 of the family's 1533-position model. The record is from RNAcentral.
AACGAACGCUGGCGGCAUGCCUAACACAUGCAAGUCGAACGAGACCUUCGGGUCUAGUGGCGCACGGGUGCGUAACGCGUGGGAACCUGCCCUUAGGUUCGGAAUAACUCCCCGAAAGGGGUGCUAAUACCGGAUAAUGUCUUCGGACCAAAGAUUUAUCGCCUUUGGAUGGGCCCGCGUUGGAUUAGCUAGUUGGUAGGGUAAAAGCCUACCAAGGCGACGAUCCAUAGCUGGUCUGAGAGGAUGAUCAGCCACACUGGGACUGAGACACGGCCCAGACUCCUACGGGAGGCAGCAGUGGGGAAUAUUGGACAAUGGGCGAAAGCCUGAUCCAGCAAUGCCGCGGGAGUGAUGAAGGCCGUAGGGUUGUAAAGCUCUUUUACCCGGGAUGAUAAUGACAGUACCGGGAGAAUAAGCUCCGGCUAACUCCGUG